Molecule: ribosomal RNA, 468 nt
Filed under: uncultured bacterium
Lineage: Bacteria
Description: partial 16S ribosomal RNA
Rfam family: Bacterial small subunit ribosomal RNA
Source: RNAcentral
GACGAACGCUGGCGGCGUGCUUAACACAUGCAAGUCGAACGGAAAGGCCCUGCUUUUGUGGGGUGCUCGAGUGGCGAACGGGUGAGUAACACGUGAGUAACCUGCCCUUGACUUUGGGAUAACUUCAGGAAACUGGGGCUAAUACCGGAUAGGAGCUCCUGCUGCAUGGUGGGGGUUGGAAAGUUUCGGCGGUUGGGGAUGGACUCGCGGCUUAUCAGCUUGUUGGUGGGGUAGUGGCUUACCAAGGCUUUGACGGGUAGCCGGCCUGAGAGGGUGACCGGCCACAUUGGGACUGAGAUACGGCCCAGACUCCUACGGGAGGCAGCAGUGGGGAAUCUUGCACAGUGGGCGGAAGCCUGAUGCAGCAACGCCGCGUGCGGGAUGACGGCCUUCGGGUUGUAAACCGCUUUCGCCUGUGACGAAGCGUGAGUGACGGUAAUGGGUAAAGAAGCACCGGCUAACUACGUG